UAAUGACUCUCGGCAACGGAUAUCUCGGCUCUCGCAUCGAUGAAGAACGUAGCGAAAUGCGAUACUUGGUGUGAAUUGCAGAAUCCCGUGAACCAUCGAGUCUUUGAACGCAAGUUGCGCCCGAAGCCACUAGGUCGAGGGCACGUCUGCCUGGGCGUCUCACA
This 164-nucleotide ribosomal RNA is filed under the name Pycnandra fastuosa. RNAcentral's name for it is "5.8S ribosomal RNA". It matches the Rfam family "5.8S ribosomal RNA". Rfam says of the family: 5.8S ribosomal RNA (5.8S rRNA) is a component of the large subunit of the eukaryotic ribosome. It is transcribed by RNA polymerase I as part of the 45S precursor that also contains 18S and 28S rRNA. Functionally, it is thought that 5.8S rRNA may be involved in ribosome translocation. Lineage: Eukaryota; Viridiplantae; Streptophyta; Magnoliopsida; Ericales; Sapotaceae. The record is from RNAcentral.